This 474-nucleotide ribosomal RNA is filed under the name uncultured bacterium. RNAcentral describes it as "bacterial SSU rRNA". It matches the Rfam family "Bacterial small subunit ribosomal RNA", at positions 25 to 518 of the family's 1533-position model. The record is from RNAcentral.
CAGGACGAACGCUGGCGGCAUGCCUAACACAUGCAAGUCGAACGGGGGUAGCAAUACCCUAGUGGCGAACGGGUGAGUAACACAUAAGCAAUCUGCCCUUCACAGGGGGAUAACAGCGGGAAACUGCUGCUAAUACCGCAUAAGACCACAGUACCGCAUGGUACAGGGGUAAAAACGAAUCAGUGGUGAAGGAUGAGCUUAUGUCCCAUUAGCUAGUUGGUGAGAUAACAGCCCACCAAGGCGACGAUGGGUAGCCGACCUGAGAGGGUGAUCGGCCACACUGGAACUGAGACACGGUCCAGACUCCUACGGGAGGCAGCAGUGGGGAAUAUUGGGCAAUGGAGGAAAAACCUCUUACCCAGCAAUGCCGCGUGAGUGAAGAAGGUCUUCGGAUUGUAAAGCUCUUUGAUUGGGGACGAAGAAAGUGACGGUACCCAAAGAACAAGCCCCGGCUAACUACGUGCCAGCAGCGGC